RNAcentral lists this ribosomal RNA (466 nucleotides) under uncultured bacterium. RNAcentral describes it as "bacterial SSU rRNA". It matches the Rfam family "Bacterial small subunit ribosomal RNA", at positions 338 to 795 of the family's 1533-position model. The record is from RNAcentral.
CCUACGGGGUGCAGCAGUGGGGAAUAUUGGGCAAUGGGCGCAAGCCUGAUCCAGCCAUGCCGCGUGUGUGAAGAAGGCCUUUUGGUUGUAAAGCACUUUAAGCGAGGAGGAGGCUCCUUUAGUUAAUACCUAAAGAGAGUGGACGUUACUCGCAGAAUAAGCACCGGCUAACUCUGUGCCAGCAGCCGCGGUAAUACAGAGGGUGCGAGCGUUAAUCGGAUUUACUGGGCGUAAAGCGUGCGUAGGCGGCUUUUUAAGUCGGAUGUGAAAUCCCUGAGCUUAACUUAGGAAUUGCAUUCGAUACUGGAGAGCUAGAGUAUGGGAGAGGAUGGUAGAAUUCCAGGUGUAGCGGUGAAAUGCGUAGAGAUCUGGAGGAAUACCGAUGGCGAAGGCAGCCAUCUGGCCUAAUACUGACGCUGAGGUACGAAAGCAUGGGGAGCAAACAGGAUUAGAUACCCCUGUAGUC